GUCGGUGAGUAUGUCGUGGGCGGUUGCCUCGGACUCGGGGCUAUCCGCUGCUGGACGGGGCCAGGCUCGGAUGCGGCUGGCUGCCCUCCGGUGGGGGUUGGAAAGAUUUUUUGGUCUGGGAUGGGCUCGCGGCCUAUCAGCUUGUUGGUGAGGUAAUGGCUCACCAAGGCGUCGACGGGUAGCCGGCCUGAGAGGGUGACCGGCCACACUGGGACUGAGACACGGCCCAGACUCCUACGGGAGGCAGCAGUGGGGAAUAUUGCACAAUGGGCGGAAGCCUGAUGCAGCAACGCCGCGUGAGGGACGACGGCCUUCGGGUUGUAAACCUCUUUUAGCAAGGAAGAAGCGAAAGUGACGGUACUUGCAGAAAAAGCGCCGGCUAACUACGUGCCAGCAGCCGCGGUAAUACGUAGGGCGCAAGCGUUAUCCGGAAUUAUUGGGCGUAAAGAGCUCGUAGGCGGUUUGUCGCGUCUGCUGUGAAAUCCCGAGGCUCAACCUCGGGUCUGCAGUGGGUACGGGCAGACUAGAGUGCGGUAGGGGAGAUUGGAAUUCCUGGUGUAGCGGUGGAAUGCGCAGAUAUCAGGAGGAACACCGAUGGCGAAGGCAGAUCUCUGGGCCGUAACUGACGCUGAGGAGCGAAAGGGUGGGGAGCAAACAGGCUUAGAUACCCUGGUAGUCCACCCCGUAAACGUUGGGAACUAGUUGUGGGGUCCAUUCCACGGAUUCCGUGACGCAGCUAACGCAUUAAGUUCCCCGCCUGGGGAGUACGGCCGCAAGGCUAAAACUCAAAGGAAUUGACGGGGACCCGCACAAGCGGCGGAGCAUGCGGAUUAAUUCGAUGCAACGCGAAGAACCUUACCAAGGCUUGACAUACACGAGAACGCCGCAGAAAUGUGGAACUCUUUGGACACUCGUGAACAGGUGGUGCAUGGUUGUCGUCAGCUCGUGUCGUGAGAUGUUGGG
This 963-nucleotide ribosomal RNA is filed under the name Microbacterium sp. RNAcentral's name for it is "bacterial SSU rRNA". It matches the Rfam family "Bacterial small subunit ribosomal RNA", at positions 100 to 1079 of the family's 1533-position model. Lineage: Bacteria; Bacillati; Actinomycetota; Actinomycetes; Micrococcales; Microbacteriaceae. The record is from RNAcentral.